AUGCCUGAAAAGGGGAAUCAGAUAUUGAAAUCAGCUGAGAAAGUUUUAUGUCGUCCACUGUCAGAAAAAUUUUCAUCAACUAUCGAGAAAGACAGUUUUAAAAUGGCUUUAGUUAUUUUUGCCAUGGGUCACUUGCUUGCACCAACCAGCAAGCAUGAUGCUGCUACAAUUGAUUAUUGGGCAGCAUUAGUAAACCCUGAGAGAAUAUCUGAUUUCAAUUGGUGCGAGUAUGUAUUACAAGAUUUGUUGAAAGCUGUAACCAAGUUAAAAGCUGACAUGCUGAACAACCGAGCCAUCACACACUUAGAAGGUUGCCAUAUUUUCCUUCAGGUUUUCUACCUUGAUAAUGUUGACUUAGGAAUUUUCAACAUGUCACACAACACACUCCCAAGGAUAUUGGAUUUCGAUCUGUCAACUUUUCGUGGGAUGAUCCUCCAGUGCAGCAGCCCUUCAAAGAACACGGAAGAUUAUUCCAAAGUCUAG
This 483-nucleotide ribosomal RNA is filed under the name Triticum aestivum (bread wheat). RNAcentral's name for it is "partial small subunit ribosomal RNA". The record is from RNAcentral. Lineage: Eukaryota; Viridiplantae; Streptophyta; Magnoliopsida; Poales; Poaceae.